AAGUCGUAACAAGGUCUCCGUAGGUGAACCUGCGGAGGGAUCAUUAACGAGUUAGGGUCUCACCGGCCCGACCUCCCAACCCUUUGUCUACUUGACCAUCGUUGCUUCGGCGAGCCCGUCCUCACGGACCGCCGGGGGGUUCACUGAACCCCCUGGUCCGCGCUCGUCGACAGCCCCCAAUUCCAAAAUCUUAACUAAACGUGUCUUGAAUCUAAGUACUAUUGUUAAAUAAAAAACAAAACUUUCAACAACGGAUCUCUUGGUUCUG
Molecule: unclassified non-coding RNA, 268 nt
Filed under: Exophiala salmonis
Lineage: Eukaryota; Fungi; Ascomycota; Eurotiomycetes; Chaetothyriales; Herpotrichiellaceae
Also listed under: 1 other name
Description: partial internal transcribed spacer region
Rfam family: Eukaryotic small subunit ribosomal RNA (bases 1-46)
Source: RNAcentral